CGUGUGGACCUGCGGUGCAUUAGCUAGUUGGUAGGGUAACGGCCUACCAAGGCGAUGAUGCAUAGCCGAGUUGAGAGACUGAUCGGCCACAUUGGGACUGAGACACGGCCCAAACUCCUACGGGAGGCAGCAGUAGGGAAUCUUCCACAAUGGACGCAAGUCUGAUGGAGCAACGCCGCGUGAGUGAAGAAGGGUUUCGGCUCGUAAAGCUCUGUUGUUGGUGAAGAAGGACAGGGGUAGUAACUGACCUUUGUUUGACGGUAAUCAAUUAGAAAGUCACGGGCUAACUACGUGCCAGCAGCCGCGGUAAAU
RNAcentral lists this ribosomal RNA (312 nucleotides) under uncultured Lactobacillus sp. RNAcentral describes it as "bacterial SSU rRNA". It matches the Rfam family "Bacterial small subunit ribosomal RNA", at positions 222 to 525 of the family's 1533-position model. Lineage: Bacteria; Bacillati; Bacillota; Bacilli; Lactobacillales; Lactobacillaceae. The record is from RNAcentral.